This 250-nucleotide ribosomal RNA is filed under the name uncultured bacterium. RNAcentral describes it as "partial 16S ribosomal RNA". It matches the Rfam family "Bacterial small subunit ribosomal RNA", at positions 524 to 773 of the family's 1533-position model. The record is from RNAcentral.
UACGUAGGGGGCAAGCGUUGUCCGGAUUUAUUGGGCGUAAAGAGCGUGUAGGCGGCUUUACAGGUCCGUUGUGAAAACUCGAGGCUCAACCUCGAGACGCCGGUGGAAACCGUAAGGCUAGAGUCCGGAAGAGGAGAGUGGAAUUCCUGGUGUAGCGGUGAAAUGCGCAGAUAUCAGGAAGAACACCCGUGGCGAAGGCGGCUCUCUGGGACGGUACUGACGCUGAGACGCGAAAGCGUGGGGAGCGAAC